AUAAUUUAAGGUCUGGCCUGCCCAAUGAGUAGUUAAAAUGGCCGCGGUAUUUUGACCGUGCAAAGGUAGCAUAAUCAUUAGUUUUUUAAUUGAAAGCUGGAAUGAAUGGUCGGACGAGAAAAUAACUGUCUCAGUAUAAUUUUGUUAGAAUUUUAUUUUUAAGUUAAAAAGCUUAAAUGCAUUUAAAAGACGAGAAGACCCUAUAGAGUUUUAUAUAUGUAUAUUUAUUGGUUUUAUAGUAUUUUGAUGCUGAUAUUUAGUAAUGUAUUUUGUUGGGGUGACAGAAAAAUUGGCUAAACUUUUUCUAAAAUUGAACAUUUAUUUAUGAUUGUUUGAUCCAUUAUUUAUGAUUAUAAGAUUAAAUUACCUUAGGGAUAACAGCGUAAUUUUUUUUGAGAGUUCUUAUCGAUAAAAGAGUUUGCGACCUCGAUGUUGGAUUAAAAUUAAUUUCUGGUGCAGAAGCUGGAAAAUUGGGUCUGUUCGACCCUUAAAAUUUUACAUGAUCUGAGUUUAAACCGGUGUGAGCCAGGUUGGUUUCUAUCUUUAAAUUAAACAAAUAUUUUAGUACGAAAGGACCAAAUAUUUAUAAUAUUUAUUUAGCUUAUGAAUGUUAAUAAUAGGUUACUUUGGCAGAUUAGUGCUUUAAAUUUAGAAUUUAAAUAUGUAUAUUAUACAAGUAAUACAUUUUAUUUAAGGAUUUAAUUAUAAUGUUAGUUUCAAGUUUAAUUUUAAUUAUUUGUGUUUUAGUUGGGGUAGCAUUUUUGACUUUAUUAGAGCGUAAGGUUUUAGGAUAUA
Molecule: ribosomal RNA, 795 nt
Filed under: Propomacrus cypriacus
Lineage: Eukaryota; Metazoa; Arthropoda; Insecta; Coleoptera; Glaphyridae
Description: partial 16S ribosomal RNA
Rfam family: Archaeal large subunit ribosomal RNA (bases 1-582)
Source: RNAcentral